RNAcentral lists this long non-coding RNA (2421 nucleotides) under Mytilus galloprovincialis (Mediterranean mussel). The record is from RNAcentral. Lineage: Eukaryota; Metazoa; Mollusca; Bivalvia; Mytilida; Mytilidae.
UCCGGAUGGAGUGAUUUUAUAUCGGUGUGGAGAUACUCCAUGUCGAGGACAUCAGUGUGAAGGAGCAGUAUGCAGGUAAUCAUCAGAGUAUACUUUGUUUUAAAUACCAAAUUAAAAGAGGACUUGCGGGUGCGGAAAAUUCUCGCUGCAUUAAAGACCUGUUGGAGAACUUCUGCUGUUGUCUGUUAUAUGGUCGGUUUGUUGUCUUUAUGACACAUUCCCCAUUUCCUUUCUAAAUUUCAUUGAUUCUACAGAAAGUAAUUUGAGGUGCUAUGGCACAUAUUACGAAAUGUAUUGUAUGCAUUUUAUGCAGUUUUACCCUAACCAUUAUAUAUGUAUAUAUAAACAACAAUUAUAAGUUUAUAUUCUGGUGUCUGUUAAGGACAAUUACAAUCACCAUAAAACGUAAUCAAUUAUGAUUAUAUAAUAAUGCAUGACCAUUUAAGGUUAUUUGACUCAUAUUAACCGUUCCUUUGUUGAAAGGAUUUAAUUAUUUACAUGGUAUCUUUUCUUUUCCAAAGAAACAACUAUUGUGGUGGUGCAUGUAGUCGUCUAUGGUAUGAAAACGGAAUGGACGUCACGAAACGAUGUGGUAAGAUAUAAAAAAAAGUAUUAAUAAAAAUACCGAUCAAUGUAGAUCUAUAAAAAGAAAAAUCACAAAAAUACUGAACUCCAUUGAAAUUGACAACAAAGAGUCCCCAAUCAAAUUGGAGAAUCAAAAGCUCAAACACAUCAAACAAAUGGACAGCAACUGUCAUAUUCCUGGAUUGGUAUAAAAUAAAAUUCGGAUUUAUAGCUAGCUAACCCUCUCACUUGUAUGACAGUCGCAUGCCAUUCUAUCAUAUUGACAACGAUGUGUGAUCAAAACAAACAGACAAAAUGCUCGGUGUUAUCAACAAACGGAACGCAAUAAGAACAGUUUUUAUAAUACUGUCUUGAUGCAGGUUUUUUCGGAAGAAAACUCCGAAUGAAUGCAUAUGCACAUAGUUAAACUUUUAUUACUCGGAAUUAUGUUUGCCAAGGAUACAACCAUCUAGUAGGGUACAAUGACGUUCAUGUUAGUAAUGUUAGUUUACCGUUAGCACGUUUACUGUGACGUUGAGUGAGAAAAUGUACUCUAAAGGGAUCAAGUAUUGUAAGAGUAUGAACAAAUUCUAUCGAGAACACCAAUAGUUUGAGAAGUAACAAAUAAACUAAAGAAAAAGCAACAAUAUGACAGACAGAUUUAAUCGAUAACCAUUGACUAAUAGAGACAGACAGUGCACGAAGUUCUAUUAACAUGAUAUAAAUGCAAAAGUGUCUGUUACAGUUGAGAUAAUUAAACAUCAAAUAAAAAACAGAAAAAAAUCAUGGAAGCUUUAAUUAAACCUAGAUGAAUAUAUAAUCAAAUAUACCAUAACUAUUCUGGAUAUAAUUAUAAUAUAAAUGUUUUUUAUAAUAAAUUUAGAAAAGUCGGUAAUUUAUUUUGUGUAGAAUUCCGAUGUCCAGGUAGCAAUGAUUGUUUACCAGGAGUAUUUCCAGCGCCAUGUAAAAGAAAUCCAUGUGAUGGACAAAGCUGCACAGGCCAUCUAAACGCCAAAUGUUGGUAAGUCAUAAACCUGUUCUUACAUUAGGAUUUCACAUUGUAGGUAGAAUUAAAACUCAUGUACAAAUACCCCUAAAGCACACUUAAUAGUUUUAUAACACCCCCCCCCCAAAAAAAAAAAAAAUUAUAUCAUUCAAGUUAUAAUUUGGUAAAAGCGACAAUUGUGCAUUGUUUUCAAAACUGCAGUAUUGCCGUAUAUUAUCUCAUGGCUGCAUGUUUAUGCUUAAAUCAAUAUAUAGGACGCGCACGUGAGCUCGGGGAUUAUUACGUAGUAGACAAAAUAGAUGUAUACUAACAUUUUUUGAAAGUUUAUUUAUAUAUGUAGCUUGCAACAGUUUACUAAUAAUACUGGUUUUUCUUUUCUUUUAUUAAAAUGCAUUAAUUACUAAAACAGAAACAAAAACAAAUUCAUUUUAUGUAUUAAAAAUUUACUUUUAGCAUGAGUUGGAAAGACAUUCUAUAAUAUUGAUUUGGAAUUACUAUUGAACCAAAGAGAGGCGAAAUAUCCUACAAGGGACAUUCAAACUCAUAAGUCAAGAAUAGAAAAACUACGCUAUAACAAAAAAGAUCAAAACAAAACUGAAAAAAACGACAACAAAAAACAACCACAACAAAGAAAACUAAUGUCAGAGCAACAGGAUUCCCACCAAAAACUCGAGGUGCUAUCAUGUUCACUAGAAAAGGUGAGUAAAUACAUGUGCCAGGUUGAUAAAAAUUCUGUUAAUAUCUUUUUCAGUCCGGUAUAUUGUGGAGGCCAUGCCUUGUGGUUUGUGGACGGUGAGAAAGUCAUUUGCUGAAAAUAAAGAAGAAAAUGAAUUGUCCAUCAAUAAAACACC